AAAAUAAAUAAAUAAAAAAUACAUUAAAUAUCACGGUAGUCUAGACAAAUAAAAAUUUUAAAUGCUUGGAAAUGAUUUCCCAUCAAAUUGAGUCACUUUUCCAAUGUUCGAAAACUAUCAUUCAUCUUCUCCAACUUCAUAUCAUUAUUGUUCAUCAAAACAACCCUUUUUCAUGAAGAAGAUCGUCUCUUCCAUUCAUAUCAUUCUCUUCUUCAAUUUCUCUCCAAUCCACCCUUACCAUCUUCCAUAAUUAUCCCAUUAGUCCAUCAAUCUUCGCAUGUAACUCGAUAAUGAGAGCAUAUUCCAUGGAAGUAGAGUCUUUGAAGCUCUUUGAACAGUUUCAAGAAAUUGGAUUAAAACCAGAUAAACUCUCUUUCCCUAUUGUGCUAAAGGUUUGUGGGCAUUGUUUGAUGAUUGGAGCGGGUGGGUCAUUGCAUUUGAUGUCUGUGAGGUCGGGUUUCAGUUAAGAUUUAUAUGUAAAACGAUACCAUUUUAAGAAUGUAUGCAGGAUUUGGAUUGAUCAUGUUUGCAGGACAACUGUUUGAUGAAAUGCUUGAGAGGGGUAUAGUUUCUUGGAGUUCUUGAUGGCAGCUUAUAUUCAUUGGGUUUCAUACUUUUCCUUGUGACUGAGUUUCAAAGUGGAUAUUCAUGUUUGUAGCUAAAGCUUCAUAACUUUCUUGGGGGCUGAGUUUCGAAGUGGAUAUUCAUAAUUUGGUUAGUAAAUAUUUUUUCUUAUUUUAUUACGUUUACGAUUUCAAAGUAUUAUAGUUAGAAUUUCACAACUUUCUCGUCAUUUCGCGGCCAAGGUUUUAUAACUUUCUUCGGAGCUAAGUUUCUUAGUGGAUUUUCGUGGCAUAAACACAAUAAAAUAAGAAAAAAGUUUACUAACCUAUAACCACGAAUAUCCACUUUAAAACCCAGCGACGAGGAAAACUGUGAAACCUUAGCCGCGAAAUGAAGGAGAAAGGGUGAAAUCGUUUCUCGAAAAUAAUAAAAUGAGGGAAAAAUGAGUAAUUAAUAUUUAGGGAUUUAGUCAAUGUGACACGUGUGGAAUUUAACAACUUUCACUAAUAAGAAUGUCACUUUUGACGCAAUAGUUUGACGGGAAGGGUAGUUUUAAGCUGAAAUAUAAUUUAAGGGUAUAUAUGAGCUAUUUCGGAUAGUUUAAGGAUACUUUUGACCAUUUUUCUUUUAGUCUAUGUAGCAGUGGAAAUCUAUUGGGAUGCCAUGUGGCAUCCACAUGGCAUUUAACAAUUUCCGUUAAUUAGAAGGGACUUUUGACCCAAUAGUUUGACGGGAAGGGUAGUUUUGAGCCAAAAUAUAGUUUAAGGGUAUAUAUGAGCUAUUUCAGAUAGUUUAAGGGUAUUUUUGACCCUUUUCCGUUUUUUUAUUCAAGUUAGUUUGUCAUUACCCACUAGAACUAUAAUUUUUUUUAUAAUAAAAUAUGCUUUAGGUAUUGAACAAUUUAAGUAGUCUUAAAUCAAUGUUAAGUUUAAAAAAUUAGAAAUAUAUUGUACCGUCAAUGAUUUCUUAGUGGUACAUCACACCUUAAAAUUAAUUAAUAACAAUUUUAUUUAUAUAGUAUUUCAUUUAACUAAUUAUAUGGAAUAGAAAAUUCUUUUAAAAAAAUUAUCUUCUCGGGUGGUUAUCCAUCUUGACUCAAUUACAUGAAAUAAAUAAUAAUAAUAACACAAAGCUAUAAUAGGAAAGAUUUUUUUUAUAGAGUUUUAAAUCAAACACAAAAUUAAGUGAAAAGUAGUAAGCCAAACACUUGACAUACUAAUUCCUGAAUAAUCAAUAUUUGUACCAAACAACACUGUGUGUAUUUCAAUUCACAAUUCUCAUAAAGCAGUGAUAGGUACAAAUAUAUGCCUUGGUCAAGCUUCUCCCCGAGGAAUCUAGCUGACACAAUCGUACUAUAGUAACUGCUACAAAAUAAGAACUAAAAUGCAAUAAAUAAACUACAAUUGGACUAAACAAUAAAAUGUUCUUUCCCUAACUAACUUCUUCAUCAGUUGUUCAGUAUCACUUCAUGAAUUUAGUGAACAACGACAUCACUAUCAACAAUGUCAAAAUUGCAACAUUUCUCCUCUUUAAAAGCCAUUCUUGUCCUCAAAAAAGAAAAGUUGGGAACUUGAGCUUUAUUUUAGCAAAGUCUUCCCAUGUAGCUUGUGAAUGUCCUUCCAUUGCACUAAGAUUUCAUCUACAACCAUAUUGCGCCUUUUGAUCAUCUUUCUGUCUAACACCUGAUCUGGCUCAUCACAACAGGGACUUGCAAUGUAUAGUAAAGAAAGGUGGUUAAGUACUUCAGGAAAUGCAUAGCAGGAUUAACCUAUUUAUGAAAAAAGAAGCAGUAUAAUCUUGUAUCAACUUUUUUAUAUGUUGAGCUUCCCAAGUCGCCUAGCACGAAAAGAGGGAAAAAAGUUAACACUUGAAAAAUAGAGUUUGAACAUAUUUACAUGAACAUGUCACAUACAAUAAAAAAGAUCAAGUAGGACAUGAAGUCAUACUCUUAGGUCAUCUAUAUUUUUAUUUCAAAAUAGUUCAAUUUGAUUCACUAACAUCAAGAGCUCAACUCAAGUAUGGAUUCCCACCAACCUACUAAUGUAUCCCAAACACGAGGAUGUAUGAUUGUUUUUUUUUAUGAUAGAACUAUUUAUUAACAACAAAAACAUUACAAUUCUACCUUAAUAAUAACACUUCAAGCACUUCAAUAAACAUAUUUGGGAAAUAUAUUUUCAACUAGAUAUUCUAAUAACACUUCAAGCACUUCAAUAAACAUCUUUUAAGAGAGAUGCAUACAAGAAUGCAAGCAAAUUAUGGAAAACAUAAAGAAUAAAUUAAACUAAAUAUAUAAGAAUUCUAAUUUUGAGACACUUCAACUAAAUGGAAACAAAAAAGAUUUGUUAGUAAGGUUCUAAAAAAUUCACGUUGAGUAAUGGAGCGGCGACGACCCACUGUGCAAGAUGAUGAUGGUUGCGGCACCGGUGUGAUGGAGGCGGCGCGACCUCCAAUGCGGAGGUGCGACCUGCAGAUGGUGUGGGGUAGCGCCUGUCGGGGCAAGGUGGGAUGGGCGGCGGCAGCCGGAGCAGGCUGGAUGGGCGGCAAGCGGUGGUUCAAUGAGGGAGGAGUGAGAGAGAGAGAUAUUUGACUUAGGAUUUUGAUAUUAUCCUUUUUUUCUUUUAAAGAGAAGUGUUUAAUCAGUAUUUUUUAGAAUAAUUA
Solanum lycopersicum (tomato) is the source of this 3222-nucleotide long non-coding RNA. RefSeq lists it as uncharacterized. The record is from RefSeq and is a predicted model, not a curated record. NCBI's taxonomy places the organism in Eukaryota, Viridiplantae, Streptophyta, Magnoliopsida, Solanales, Solanaceae.